AAUCCUACGUCUGGCAGAACUACGACCUGUUCCCGAAAUUUCCGGCGCUGAAGGAUUUUCUCGCCUUCUGGCAGGAGAAGCUGGAGGGACCGCUGGUCUCGGUCACCGUCGCGCAUUCCAAGCUGAUCAAGCCGGCUGAGAUCAAGGCGAUCGACGGCAUGUUCCGGCUGCACUGAGCGGCUCGCGUCUCAAUUCCUCGCCGUCAUG
This 207-nucleotide unclassified non-coding RNA is filed under the name Hevea brasiliensis (rubber tree). The record is from RNAcentral. Lineage: Eukaryota; Viridiplantae; Streptophyta; Magnoliopsida; Malpighiales; Euphorbiaceae.